GAAAUCGAGUCCGAAUAGGGCGUCUUUAGUCGCUGGGUGUAGACCCGAAACCAAGUGAUCUAUCCAUGGCCAGGAUGAAGUGCUGUAACAGGUACUGGAGGUCCGAACCGACUAGUGUUGCAAAAUUAGCGGAUGAGCUGUGGAUAGGGGUGAAAAGGCUAAACAAACUUGGAAAUAGCUGGUUCUCUCCGAAAACUAUUUAGGUAGUGCCUCAAGUAUUACCUGCGGGGGUAGAGCACUGUUUAGGCUAGGGGGUCAUGGCGACUUACCAACCCUAGGCAAACUCCGAAUACCGCAGAGUACAGCUUGGGAGACAGAGCACCGGGUGCUAACGUCCGGACUCAAGAGGGAAAACAACCCAGACCGCCAGCUAAGGUCCCUAAAAAUUGGCUAAGUGGGAAACGAAGUGGGAAGGCUAAAACAGUCAGGAUGUUGGCUUAGAAGCAGCCAUCAUUUUAAAGAAAGCGUAAUAGCUCACUGAUCGAGUCGUCCUGCGCGGAAGAUGUAACGGGG
RNAcentral lists this ribosomal RNA (513 nucleotides) under uncultured bacterium. RNAcentral describes it as "bacterial LSU rRNA". It matches the Rfam family "Bacterial large subunit ribosomal RNA", at positions 673 to 1180 of the family's 2925-position model. The record is from RNAcentral.